This 418-nucleotide ribosomal RNA is filed under the name Escherichia coli. RNAcentral describes it as "partial 23S ribosomal RNA". It matches the Rfam family "Bacterial large subunit ribosomal RNA", at positions 1241 to 1660 of the family's 2925-position model. Lineage: Bacteria; Pseudomonadati; Pseudomonadota; Gammaproteobacteria; Enterobacterales; Enterobacteriaceae. The record is from RNAcentral.
CUGUAAGCCUGUGAAGGUGUACUGUGAGGUAUGCUGGAGGUAUCAGAAGUGCGAAUGCUGACAUAAGUAACGAUAAAGCGGGUGAAAAGCCCGCUCGCCGGAAGACCAAGGGUUCCUGUCCAACGUUAAUCGGGGCAGGGUGAGUCGACCCCUAAGGCGAGGCCGAAAGGCGUAGUCGAUGGGAAACAGGUUAAUAUUCCUGUACUUGGUGUUACUGCGAAGGGGGGACGGAGAAGGCUAUGUUGGCCGGGCGACGGUUGUCCCGGUUUAAGCGUGUAGGCUGGUUUUCCAGGCAAAUCCGGAAAAUCAAGGCUGAGGCGUGAUGACGAGGCACUACGGUGCUGAAGCAACAAAUGCCCUGCUUCCAGGAAAAGCCUCUAAGCAUCAGGUAACAUCAAAUCGUACCCCAAACCGACAC